AAAGGAUGAUCUGCUUGAAAUAAUAUGCUGGAGGCAGCAUGUUGUUGGUGUUGACUACUGUCAUUUUUCUUUUUGAGUUGUUUUUCCAAUCCAUUCUUCAUGUCCAAUUGUCUGAUGACUCUGUUUACUAUUGUUCCGAGUCUUAGUCGAAGUAGCUUAGAAGUAGUCUAGAUUUAUAGCAUGUUUACCCAUUACCUGGGAGGCCUCCUAAUCCUUGGGCAUGUAUAAUCAAUUGGCUGCUCGUGCUAAUAUUAUGACCCUCUGUCAUAUCGAGCCAUUCUAUAAGACUGGCACAACAAAUAUUGUUAUGCACUUUGUUUUUU
Molecule: long non-coding RNA, 323 nt
Filed under: Solanum tuberosum (potato)
Lineage: Eukaryota; Viridiplantae; Streptophyta; Magnoliopsida; Solanales; Solanaceae
Description: long non-coding RNA (STUB_LNC002243)
Source: RNAcentral